Molecule: long non-coding RNA, 1059 nt
Organism: Ananas comosus (pineapple)
Lineage: Eukaryota; Viridiplantae; Streptophyta; Magnoliopsida; Poales; Bromeliaceae
Exons: 3
Source: RefSeq, a predicted model, not a curated record
CAAAUAAGCAAAACUGGAGUUUUGCCAGAUUCGGGCGCCCAGAACACGGUUUAGGUCGCUCAGAACUGAGUGCUGAAAUUAACUGAAACUGGAAGCUAAUUCGGAUCCUAUGUUCCGGGCGCCCAGAAGUGGGUCCGGAAAUUUUACAUAGUGAAUAUCGUUUGUGUUGACACGUGGCUGGUGGUAGGUGAGGUCCGCCGGAGCCGUUUACGGGCGCAGCACACCGCGGGAGGAGGAAUCGAAGGGGAGCAUUUGUGCAGGCUGAAAGUUCUGGACGCCCAGAACUUAGUUUAGAGCGCCCAGAUCUCGGAUUUUCUGCAGGGACAGCAGAUUUCAGCAAUUGUUCCUGAGGGUUAUCUGACCACUCCAGCACCCUAUAAAUACCUGGUGUACGUCCCCUUUGAGCUCUUUUCACCUGUCCUUCACAGAGAACCCUGAAUUUGCUCUUCAAUCCCUCAAAUCUUCUUAAUUUGCAUCAAGAUCCACAACUCCAAGAUUUGCAAGGUGCUGAUUCUGCAGUUUUUCCAGCGACGACCUUCAGUGUUUUUGCUCGUGCGCGACGUAGGGAAGUCGGAUUGUGACGAAACUUAGUUUGUUGGAUUCUAGACUUCCAGAGGAAUCCAGGAAGUCCUGAAUUGCAGAUUUUGGUUAAGGUUAACUCAGUCAAUUUUGCAGGUUUCUGGACUGCUAUGGUUUUGGACCUGAUUUUUGGAUUUCUUGAACUUUCUUGAUACGAUCUUUGGAAACAGUGGGAUUUUGGACCUGAGACUCAUACUCCAUCACUACUCACUGCUUUUGGAACUCCACCUCAACUGAUUUGGAGUCGGAAGGUCUAGAGUUUGAAGAACUCUUGUUGCUGACUUGGAGGAGCUUCGGUUUAUCCAGCAGAGGAAGUCCUUGUGGUUCGAGACCUCCUUGCUGUCAGGAAGUGCUUUAGAGAGUCGUCGCCUUCGACUACUGCUGUUGUUGAUCUGGACCGAUGCUAGGGCGUCGCGAGUUAGAGCCCUACCCGACGAACCGAGCUAGAGGUGCCCCUACUGCAGAUAGUUGUUUUGUUGG